Long non-coding RNA from Ictalurus punctatus (channel catfish), 1555 nucleotides. NCBI's taxonomy places the organism in Eukaryota, Metazoa, Chordata, Actinopteri, Siluriformes, Ictaluridae. The record is from Ensembl.
CAAAAAAACGUCCAUUGAGCAGAAGUUCUGCAGGUGGAGGCAUAUUGCUGAUGAGUGAGAUCAGAGGAGAACAGCUAGACUGGUUCGAGCAGACAGGAAGGCUCCACCCAUCUUCUAUACCACUUAUCCUUCCUUCAGGGGGAACCUGGAGCCUAUCCCAGGGAGCAUCGGGCACGAGGCGGGGUAUACCCUGGACAGGGUGCCAAUCCAUUGCAGGGCACAAUCACAUACACACACCCAUUCAUACACUAUGGACACGCCAAUCAGCCUACCAUGCAUGUCUUUUGGACUGGGGGAGGAAAUCGGAGUACCCAGAGGAAACCCCCACAGCACAGGGAGAACAUGCAAACUCCUCACACACAGGGCCACGGUGGGAAUCGAACCCCCGACCCUGGAGGCGUCAGGCGAACGUGAUAACCGCUAAACCACCGUGCACCCAACAGGAAGGCUAUGGUAACGUAAAUAACCACUCUUUGCCACAGAAAAGCAUCUCAGAACACCCAGCUUGUUGAACCUUGAGGUGUAUGGGCUACAACAGCAGGAGACCAGAUGGGGUUCCACUCCUGUCAGCCAAGAACAGCAAUUUGGGGGUCACAGGAUCACUGAAACUCACCAGUCGAAGGUUUGAAGACCAGACAAUGAUGUGCAGUUUCUGAACACUCAAUCCAGAUGAUGGAAAAGAGGAAAAAACAAGGAGAGGAGGAGGAAGAGGAGGAGAAGCGAAGAAGAGGUCAGUUGUCCAUCCUGUGUGACUCAGAGCAGAUGCUGGGGCCGUGCCUGCGGUGUAGAGGCCACUGCUGCCGCUCCCUGCAGUAGAAAAAGGGAAGCGAAAAGGGCUGACAGCUACAGCCUUCCUGUUGGGUUUAAAUUAGGGUAAGAGAAAGAGAGAACUCCUUCUCUCCCACCCUACCAUCCCAUCCAUCCAUACUAAUCACGCGGACACAACAUCUAACCACUAUCAGCAACUUCUGUUUUUAGGUUUAUUUUCAAAGAUUGUCUGAAUGCCUUGUUUUAUUCCUCACACUAAUGUCAGCAUGUUUCGGUAGAAACAGUGUUCCUGGUGAUUGCUAGAAAGCUAGACAGAGUCUAAAGUGCAUCUGAAAAUCUCAAAGGGUCCCCGGAAGCCUGCAGCCUAUCCCAGGGGACUCGGGGCACGAGGUGGGGGACGCAAUGGACAGGGUGCAAACCCAUCAAAGGGCACAAUCACACACGCAUUCACACAUCACAGACAAUUUAGAGAUGCCAAUCAGUCCACAGUGCAUGUCUUCGGACUAGGGGAGGAAACCGAAGUACCCGAGGAAACCCCGGAAGCACGAACAUAUAGCGCUAUGUGUGCGCAAGUGUGUCAGGUGACAGAAGGAAAACCUUUACUGAGAGCGGUCCUGAAUCAUGUCCGAGUCUCUUCAAGCACGAAUCCUCGCUCCUCGUCCAGGUCUACGAUAGAUAUAAACCAGGGAGGGUGAAGGCUAACAUGCUAGCAUGCUAACAUGUGCUUCUUCUGGCGUCUCUAUCUGUAUCCAGCUCUCUCGACAUCUUUUUUCAAACUACUAUCCAC